AGCCUUGUAUUCAUUAAUUGUGAUUAUAGAAUGCAAUUCUGUAGGGGUGAGUUAAAUGCUUACCAAGGCCU
Molecule: transfer RNA, 71 nt
Filed under: Caetetermes taquarussu
Lineage: Eukaryota; Metazoa; Arthropoda; Insecta; Blattodea; Termitidae
Description: tRNA-Cys
Source: RNAcentral